AGUGAACGCUGGCGGUAGGCCUAACACAUGCAAGUCGAACGGCAGCACAGUAAGAGCUUGCUCUUACGGGUGGCGAGUGGCGGACGGGUGAGGAAUACAUCGGAAUCUACUUUUUCGUGGGGGAUAACGUAGGGAAACUUACGCUAAUACCGCAUACGACCUACGGGUGAAAGCAGGGGAUCUUCGGACCUUGCGCGAUUGAAUGAGCCGAUGUCGGAUUAGCUAGUUGGCGGGGUAAAGGCCCACCAAGGCGACGAUCCGUAGCUGGCCUGAGAGGAUGAUCAGCCACACUGGAACUGAGACACGGUCCAGACUCCUACGGGAGGCAGCAGUAGGGAAUAUUGGACAAUGGGCGCAAGCCUGAUCCAGCCAUACCGCGUGGGUGAAGAAGGCCUUCGGGUUGUAAAGCCCUUUUGUUGGGAAAGAAAAGCAGCAGGUUAAUACCCCGCUGUUCUGACGGUACCCAAAGAAUAAGCACCGGCUAACUUCGUG
RNAcentral lists this ribosomal RNA (492 nucleotides) under uncultured bacterium. RNAcentral describes it as "partial 16S ribosomal RNA". It matches the Rfam family "Bacterial small subunit ribosomal RNA", at positions 29 to 507 of the family's 1533-position model. The record is from RNAcentral.